RNAcentral lists this ribosomal RNA (277 nucleotides) under Staphylococcus epidermidis. RNAcentral describes it as "partial 16S ribosomal RNA". It matches the Rfam family "Bacterial small subunit ribosomal RNA", at positions 1 to 267 of the family's 1533-position model. The record is from RNAcentral. Lineage: Bacteria; Bacillati; Bacillota; Bacilli; Caryophanales; Staphylococcaceae.
UUUAUGGAGAGUUUGAUCCUGGCUCAGGAUGAACGCUGGCGGCGUGCCUAAUACAUGCAAGUCGAGCGAACAGACGAGGAGCUUGCUCCUCUGACGUUAGCGGCGGACGGGUGAGUAACACGUGGAUAACCUACCUAUAAGACUGGGAUAACUUCGGGAAACCGGAGCUAAUACCGGAUAAUAUAUUGAACCGCAUGGUUCAAUAGUGAAAGACGGUUUUGCUGUCACUUAUAGAUGGAUCCGCGCCGCAUUAGCUAGUUGGUAAGGUAACCGCAUU